RNAcentral lists this ribosomal RNA (161 nucleotides) under uncultured bacterium. RNAcentral describes it as "partial 16S ribosomal RNA". It matches the Rfam family "Bacterial small subunit ribosomal RNA", at positions 357 to 507 of the family's 1533-position model. The record is from RNAcentral.
GGGGAAUUUGGACAAUGGGCGCCAAGCCUGAUCCAGCCAUGCCGCGUGCAUGAAGAAGGUCUUCGGGUUGUAAACUGCUUUCGUCAGGGAAGAAAUCCCUUGGGCAUCAAUACCUCGGGGGGAUGACGGUACCUGAACAAUAAGCACCGGCUAACUACGUG